ACGGCUGUGGUCAAGUGGUACUUAGCAUACGUUAAUUAUGCUAAGCGCAAAAUGACAUGAGCUUCCCAAGCUUAUAGUCCGGGUUCGAUUCCCGGCAGCCGUA
RNAcentral lists this transfer RNA (103 nucleotides) under Candidatus Woesearchaeota archaeon. RNAcentral's name for it is "tRNA-Gly". It matches the Rfam family "tRNA". From Rfam's summary of the family: Transfer RNA (tRNA) molecules are approximately 80 nucleotides in length. Their secondary structure includes four short double-helical elements and three loops (D, anti-codon, and T loops). The record is from RNAcentral. Lineage: Archaea; Nanobdellati; Candidatus Woesearchaeota.